UACGGAGGGUGCAAGCGUUAUCCGGAUUCACUGGGUUUAAAGGGUGCGUAGGUGGAUUUAUAAGUCAGUGGUGAAAGCCCCGAGCUCAACUUGGGAAUUGCCAUUGAUACUGUAGACCUUGAGUGCGGUUGAGGUAGGCGGAAUGUUACAUGUAGCGGUGAAAUGCUUAGAUAUGUAACAGAACACCAAUUGCGAAGGCAGCUUACCAAGCCGAUACUGACACUGAUGCACGAAAGCGUGGGGAGCAAACAGG
This 253-nucleotide ribosomal RNA is filed under the name uncultured bacterium. RNAcentral describes it as "partial 16S ribosomal RNA". It matches the Rfam family "Bacterial small subunit ribosomal RNA", at positions 524 to 776 of the family's 1533-position model. The record is from RNAcentral.